This 251-nucleotide ribosomal RNA is filed under the name uncultured Chloroflexota bacterium. RNAcentral's name for it is "uncultured Chloroflexi bacterium partial 16S ribosomal RNA". It matches the Rfam family "Bacterial small subunit ribosomal RNA", at positions 767 to 1015 of the family's 1533-position model. The record is from RNAcentral. Lineage: Bacteria; Bacillati; Chloroflexota.
AACUGCGUGGAUUAGAUACCCGGGUAGUCCACGCCCUAAAUGGUGGAUACUAGACAUGGGGGGUAUCGACCCCCUCUGUGUCGUAGUUAACGCGUUAAGUAUCCCGCCUGGGGAGUACGGCCGCAAGGCUAAAACUCAAAGGAAUUGACGGGGGCCCGCACAAGCAGCGGAGCGUGUUGUUCAAUUCGAUGACAAGCGAAGAACCUUACCAGGGCUUGACAUGUUUCCGACAGUCCCCGAAAGGGGUACUU